This 331-nucleotide ribosomal RNA is filed under the name uncultured bacterium. Its description in RNAcentral is "bacterial SSU rRNA". It matches the Rfam family "Bacterial small subunit ribosomal RNA", at positions 568 to 898 of the family's 1533-position model. The record is from RNAcentral.
CACGUAGGUGGCUUUGCAAGUCGAUUGUGAAAUCCCCGGGCUUAACCUGGGAACUGCAGUCGAGACUGCUUUGCUUGAGUAUGGGAGAGGGAGGUGGAAUUUCCGGUGUAGCGGUGAAAUGCGUAGAUAUCGGAAGGAACAUCAGUGGCGAAGGCGACCUCCUGGACCAAUACUGACACUCAAGUGCGAAAGCGUGGGGAGCAAACAGGAUUAGAUACCCUGGUAGUCCACGCCAUAAACGAUGAGAACUGGAUGUCGGAGGGGUCUGCCCUUCGGUGUCGUAGCUAACGCGUUAAGUUCUCCGCCUGGGGAGUACGGCCGCAAGGUUGAA